GCAGAGGGUUGUUAGAGUUAGGGUACUAUAGUUAGGCUGUGGUUGGACUUGAUGAUCUUUGAGUUCCUUUUCAACCUGAGUAAUUCUAUGAUUCUGUGAUAGAGUGAGUGGAUUCAUGCAAGCCAAUCCUGUAGCAAAGGCAAGCCAAGCCUAUACCAUUAAGGCUCUAACUAGGUUGAUGGCAUCAUAUGAGACUCCAGAGGUCAUCGAGUGCAACCAGGGUGCACAUUAAAUGGGUGCAACUGUGCAGAAGUGGGCCAACGACAACAACAGUAGUACCAAAAUGGUGUGGUUUCCUUGCACGCUAGGGGAGAUUGUUAGAGGUUGGGGGAUCAGUAAAUCCUCCAGAGGUUGGUACAUGGCCAGCAGAGGUAGUGGUUGACACCCUGAUUAUCAUUGCAAAGGAGAUGUUAAUCAUGUCCAUGGGCAAAUUACCCUCCUUUGGUACCUGAUACAGUGAUCCAGCCACAGAUAUCAGGCCAAAGGGUCUGGUUUCAAAGGCCAGGACAUGCCCUGAUACAGGCAGAGGUGUUGACUCAAGGCUGAAAUACGGCCUGUAUCAUACUGUGGAGUGCAGACCUACCCCUCCUUGUACCUCUUCAACAUGUGAAUUACUCCCAUUGAGGUUAUAAGUUCACAGGACAGCCAGCAGGAGCAACAUUACUUCAGCAUGCUCCACUGUCCAUGAGCAAACAUCAUGACACCCCAUGGUGGACUGCUGAACUUUUGGGAACUGGCAAGCCUGAACCUGGACUGCUACUGGUCCUUGAAGAAGGUAUGCCUCGAGAAGGAACAUCAAGUACUGGCCGAACAGAACCAUGAAAAAGACGCCAAUACUUGCUUUCAGUGCCUUAACAUUCUGCAUCGUGGCAGGAAUAGAUGCUUAACACUAGCAGUGUCACCAGCUAUGAGGGCAGAAGCUAGCUCUCAAUGUUAACUGCUGAUAAGGUUUUGCAAACGGCCUCCAUCCCUUCACAACCAGGUGGCUGGGCAGUCCAGCCUGUAG
Molecule: long non-coding RNA, 1006 nt
Filed under: Gallus gallus (chicken)
Lineage: Eukaryota; Metazoa; Chordata; Aves; Galliformes; Phasianidae
Description: long non-coding RNA NONGGAT012052
Source: RNAcentral